CGGCGGACGGGUGAGUAACGCGUGGGUAACCUACCCUGCACACACGGAUAACAUACCGAAAGGUAUGCUAAUACGGGAUAAUAUAUUUGAGAGGCAUCUCUUGAAUAUCAAAGGUGAGCCAGUACAGGAUGGACCCGCGUCUGAUUAGCUAGUUGGUAAGGUAACGGCUUACCAAGGCGACGAUCAGUAGCCGACCUGGGAGGGUGAUCGGCCACAUUGGAACUGAGACACGGUCCAA
RNAcentral lists this ribosomal RNA (238 nucleotides) under uncultured bacterium. RNAcentral describes it as "partial 16S ribosomal RNA". It matches the Rfam family "Bacterial small subunit ribosomal RNA", at positions 96 to 334 of the family's 1533-position model. The record is from RNAcentral.